RNAcentral lists this ribosomal RNA (585 nucleotides) under uncultured bacterium. RNAcentral's name for it is "partial 16S ribosomal RNA". It matches the Rfam family "Bacterial small subunit ribosomal RNA", at positions 355 to 935 of the family's 1533-position model. The record is from RNAcentral.
UGGGGAAUUUUGGACAAUGGGCGAAAGCCUGAUCCAGCAAUGCCGCGUGUGUGAAGAAGGCCUUCGGGUUGUAAAGCACUUUUGUCCGGAAAGAAAUCCUUGGCUCUAAUACAGUCGGGGGAUGACGGUACCGGAAGAAUAAGCACCGGCUAACUACAUGCCAGCAGCCGCGGUAAUACGUAGGGUGCAAGCGUUAAUCGGAAUUACUGGGCGUAAAGCGUGCGCAGGCGGUUUGCUAAGACCGAUGUGAAAUCCCCGGGCUCAACCUGGGAACUGCAUUGGUGACUGGCAGGCUAGAGUAUGGCAGAGGGGGGUAGAAUUCCACGUGUAGCAGUGAAAUGCGUAGAGAUGUGGAGGAAUACCGAUGGCGAAGGCAGCCCCCUGGGCCAAUACUGACGCUCAUGCACGAAAGCGUGGGGAGCAAACAGGAUUAGAUACCCCUGGGUAGUCCACGCCCCUAAACGAUGUCAACUAGUUGUUGGGGAUUCAUUUCCUUAGUAACGUAGCUAACGCGUGAAGUUGACCGCCUGGGGAGUACGGUCGCAAGAUUAAAACUCAAAUGAAUUGACGGGGUCAUAGCUGUUU